GGCAAGAUGGCCGAGCGGUCUAAGGCGCCACGUUCAGGUUCUUCAAACUUGAAUAUCUCUUCGUGGUCUCGCAAGAGGCGUGAGUUCGAAUCUCACUCUUGUCA
This 104-nucleotide transfer RNA is filed under the name Cryphonectria parasitica EP155. It matches the Rfam family "tRNA". Rfam says of the family: Transfer RNA (tRNA) molecules are approximately 80 nucleotides in length. Their secondary structure includes four short double-helical elements and three loops (D, anti-codon, and T loops). Further hydrogen bonds mediate the characteristic L-shaped molecular structure. tRNAs have two regions of fundamental functional importance: the anti-codon, which is responsible for specific mRNA codon recognition, and the 3' end, to which the tRNAs corresponding amino acid is attached (by aminoacyl-tRNA synthetases). tRNAs cope with the degeneracy of the genetic code in two manners: having more than one tRNA (with a specific anti-codon) for a particular amino acid; and 'wobble' base-pairing, i.e. permitting non-standard base-pairing at the 3rd anti-codon position. The record is from Rfam by way of RNAcentral. Lineage: Eukaryota; Fungi; Ascomycota; Sordariomycetes; Diaporthales; Cryphonectriaceae.